CCUACGGGUUGCAGCAGUGGGGAAUAUUGCACAAUGGGCGAAAGCCUGAUGCAGCAACGCCGCGUGAGCGAUGAAGGCCUUCGGGUCGUAAAGCUCUGUCCUCAAGGAAGAUAAUGACGGUACUUGAGGAGGAAGCCCCGGCUAACUACGUGCCAGCAGCCGCGGUAAUACGUAGGGGGCUAGCGUUAUCCGGAAUUACUGGGCGUAAAGGGUGCGUAGGUGGUUUCUUAAGUCAGAGGUGAAAGGCUACGGCUCAACCGUAGUAAGCCUUUGAAACUGGGAAACUUGAGUGCAGGAGAGG
Molecule: ribosomal RNA, 301 nt
Filed under: uncultured bacterium
Lineage: Bacteria
Description: bacterial SSU rRNA
Rfam family: Bacterial small subunit ribosomal RNA
Source: RNAcentral